This 136-nucleotide ribosomal RNA is filed under the name uncultured Fucus sp. RNAcentral's name for it is "partial small subunit ribosomal RNA". Lineage: Eukaryota; Phaeophyceae; Fucales; Fucaceae. The record is from RNAcentral.
AAACAGACSAAUUAASGCUUAACGAACGAGACCCCCGCCUGCUAAAUAGUGGGGCUUACGUUUCUACGUAGGCAGCUCGCUCCUUAGAGGGACUUUCGGUGACUAACCGAAGGAAGUUGGGGGCAACAGGUCUGUG